UACAGAGGGGGCAAGCGUUAUUCGGAAUUAUUGGGCGUAAAGGGCGCGUAGGCGGCCUGUCAAGUGGAAUGUGAAAUCCCUCGGCUUAACCGAGGAACUGCCCUCGAAACUGCUUGGCUUGAGUCCGGGAGAGGUGAGUGGAAUUCCCAGUGUAGCGGUGAAAUGCGUAGAUAUUGGGAGGAACACCAGUGGCGAAGGCGGCUAACUGGACCGGAACUGACGCUGAGGCGCGAAAGCGUGGGGAGCAAACGGG
This 253-nucleotide ribosomal RNA is filed under the name uncultured bacterium. Its description in RNAcentral is "partial 16S ribosomal RNA". It matches the Rfam family "Bacterial small subunit ribosomal RNA", at positions 524 to 776 of the family's 1533-position model. The record is from RNAcentral.